RNAcentral lists this ribosomal RNA (253 nucleotides) under uncultured bacterium. Its description in RNAcentral is "partial 16S ribosomal RNA". It matches the Rfam family "Bacterial small subunit ribosomal RNA", at positions 524 to 776 of the family's 1533-position model. The record is from RNAcentral.
UACAGAGGGUGCGAGCGUUGUCCGGAAUCACUGGGCGUAAAGGGCUCGUAGGCGGCCAACUAAGUCGGAUGUGAAAUCCCCGGGCUUAACCUGGGAACUGCAGUCGAGACUGUCUAGCUAGAGUAUGGGAGAGGGAAGUGGAAUUUCAGGUGUAGCGGUGAAAUGCGUAGAUAUCUGAAGGAACAUCAGUGGCGAAAGCGACUUCCUGGACCAAUACUGACGCUCAUGUGCGAAAGCGUGGGGAGCAAACAGG